Molecule: long non-coding RNA, 459 nt
Filed under: Rattus norvegicus (Norway rat)
Lineage: Eukaryota; Metazoa; Chordata; Mammalia; Rodentia; Muridae
Description: long non-coding RNA NONRATT014251
Source: RNAcentral
UGACACACACCCCCUCCCCUAGACAAACUGGACAGAUCCCUUUCACUUCUAGGGCAGUGGGAUAUUCUGAGUAUCCCAAGUUUCUCUCUCAGUAGCUCUGUCCCUACCAUGAAACCUCUGUGUACUGGAGUUCUAAGUACCGAUUCUGAAAGUUUAGCCUUAGAGCGGCAGGGAAUAAGAAGCCAAUGUAGGUCAAAACUUCCUUCUCCUUUGCAGACGACUGGGAUGCCCCUAGCAGGAAGAAGUUUGAACAUGGCCCUCUCUGCCCCAGACUCAAGUCAUACAUCCACUCCUACAGUCCUGAGUGGGUGGACACCCGUGGGGUCUGUUACACGCAGCUUCUUGCUUUGUGCCUACAUUUUUGGUCAAAAAAUUUUCCCUCCCAUCUCACGAAGCCCCCAGAACACUUUUCAUCCAAAAUAUUUUUUAAGCCUGAAAGAUGACCCUAAGCCAAAUUCA